RNAcentral lists this ribosomal RNA (496 nucleotides) under uncultured bacterium. Its description in RNAcentral is "partial 16S ribosomal RNA". It matches the Rfam family "Bacterial small subunit ribosomal RNA", at positions 28 to 506 of the family's 1533-position model. The record is from RNAcentral.
GAUGAACGCUGGCGGCGUGCCUAAUACAUGCAAGUCGAGCGAACGGACGAGAAGCUUGCUUCUCUGAUGUUAGCGGCGGACGGGUGAGUAACACGUGGAUAACCUACCUAUAAGACUGGGAUAACUUCGGGAAACCGGAGCUAAUACCGGAUAAUAUUUUGAACCGCAUGGUUCAAAGGUGAAAGACGGUCUUGCUGUCACUUAUAGAUGGAUCCGCGCUGCAUUAGCUAGUUGGUAAGGUAACGGCUUACCAAGGCAACGAUGCAUAGCCGACCUGAGAGGGUGAUCGGCCACACUGGAGCUGAGACACGGUCCAGACUCCUACGGGAGGCAGCAGUAGGGAAUCUUCCGCCAUGGGCGAAAGCCUGACGGAGCAACGCCGCGUGAGUGAUGAAGGUCUUCGGCUCGUAAAACUCUGUUAUUAGGGAAGAACAUAUGUGUAAGUAACUGUGCACAUCUUGACGGUACCUAAUCAGAAAGCCACGGCUAACUACGU